Molecule: ribosomal RNA, 138 nt
Filed under: uncultured bacterium
Lineage: Bacteria
Description: partial 16S ribosomal RNA
Rfam family: Bacterial small subunit ribosomal RNA
Source: RNAcentral
UGGGGAAUAUUGCACAAUGGGGGAAACCCUGAUGCAGCAACGCCGCGUGAGUGAAGAAGUAUUUCGGUAUGUAAAGCUCUAUCAGCAGGGAAAGAAAAUGACAGUACCUGACUAAGAAGCCCCGGCUAACUACGUGCC